UUACCCGAAUAAAAGACAGAGAGGUGGUGCAUGCCCGCCGUCAGUUCGUACCGUAAGGCGUUNUGUUAAGUCAGAUAACGAGCGAGACCCUUGCUCUUAGUUGCUAUCUNGGAGUCCGCUCCGGGAGCACACUAACAGGACCGUUGGUGAUAAACCAGAGGAAGGAGGGGGCAACGGUAGGUCAGUAUGCCNUGAAUCCCCCGGGNUACACGCGCGCUACAAAGGCCGAGACAAUGGGUUGCGACCCCGAAAGGGGAAGCUAAUCUCAAAACUCGGUCCUAGUUCGGAUUGAGGGCUGUAACUUGCCCUCAUGAAGCUGGAUUCCAUAGUAAUCGCGGAUCAACAUUCCACGGUGAAUAUGCCCCUGCUCCUUGCACACACCGCCCGU
Molecule: ribosomal RNA, 388 nt
Filed under: uncultured bacterium
Lineage: Bacteria
Description: bacterial SSU rRNA
Rfam family: Archaeal small subunit ribosomal RNA
Source: RNAcentral